AGCGAACGCUGGCGGCAGGCUUAGCACAUGCAAGUCGAGCGGGCACUUUCGGGUGUCAGCGGCGGACGGGUGAGUAACGCGUGGGAACGUGCCCUCUGGUUCGGAAUAACUCAGGGAAACUUGAGCUAAUACCGGAUACGCCCUUUUGGGGAAAGGCUUGCUGCCGGAGGAUCGGCCCGCGUCUGAUUAGCUAGUUGGUGAGGUAACGGCUCACCAAGGCGACGAUCAGUAGCUGGUCUGAGAGGAUGAUCAGCCACACUGGGACUGAGACACGGCCCAGACUCCUACGGGAGGCAGCAGUGGGGAAUAUUGGACAAUGGGCGCAAGCCUGAUCCAGCCAUGCCGCGUGAGUGAUGAAGGCCUUAGGGUUGUAAAGCUCUUUUAUCCGGGACGAUAAUGACGGUACCGGAGGAAUAAGCCCCGGCUAACUUCGUG
RNAcentral lists this ribosomal RNA (435 nucleotides) under uncultured bacterium. RNAcentral's name for it is "partial 16S ribosomal RNA". It matches the Rfam family "Bacterial small subunit ribosomal RNA", at positions 29 to 507 of the family's 1533-position model. The record is from RNAcentral.